GGGCAGCAUGGUCUUAGCUUGCUAAGGCUGAUGGCGACCGGCGCACGGGUGAGUAACACGUAUCCAACCUGCCGUCUACUCUUGGCCAGCCUUCUGAAAGGAAGAUUAAUCCAGGAUGGCAUCAUGAGUUCACAUGUCCGCAUGAUUAAAGGUAUUUUCCGGUAGACGAUGGGGAUGCGUUCCACUAGAUAGUAGGCGGGGUAACGGCCCACCUAGUCAACGAUGGAUAGGGGUUCUGAGGGGAAGGUCCCCCACAUUGGAACUGAGACACGGUCCAAACUCCUACGGGAGGCAGCAGUGAGGAAUAUUGGUCAAUGGGCGAUGGCCUGAACCAGCCAAGUAGCGUGAAGGAUGACUGCCCUAUGGGUUGUAAACUUCUUUUAUAAAGGAAUAAAGUCGGGUAUGCAUACCCGUUUGCAUGUACUUUAUGAAUAAGGAUCGGCUAACUCCGUGCCAGCAGCCGCGGUAAUACGGAGGAUCCGAGCGUUAUCCGGAUUUAUUGGGUUUAAAGGGAGCGUAGAUGGAUGUUUAAGUCAGUUGUGAAAGUUUGCGGCUCAACCGUAAAAUUGCAGUUGAUACUGGAUGUCUUGAGUGCAGUUGAGGCAGGCGGAAUUCGUGGUGUAGCGGUGAAAUGCUUAGAUAUCACGAAGAACUCCGAUUGCGAAGGCAGCCUG
This 674-nucleotide ribosomal RNA is filed under the name uncultured Bacteroidales bacterium. Its description in RNAcentral is "bacterial SSU rRNA". It matches the Rfam family "Bacterial small subunit ribosomal RNA", at positions 67 to 728 of the family's 1533-position model. The record is from RNAcentral. Lineage: Bacteria; Pseudomonadati; Bacteroidota; Bacteroidia; Bacteroidales.